UGCCUAUGCAGAGAUACCAUGUGCUUGGAAUUGUGCAAGAAAACAUAAUUGCAACGGUCUUAACUCAUGUGGCCCUCUGAAUGUUGACAUUCCACCGCUCUCAUGAUCACCUAUAAAUAGGUUCGGUCAUGGUCAAAUCUCUCUCCCCCACCCCCCCCUCCUCCCUCUUUUAUAGCGAGGGUUGGAACAUUCAUUAAGUUUUGAGGUGAAUUUAGUCAAAUUUCACAUUCAACUUG
Molecule: long non-coding RNA, 236 nt
Filed under: Elaeis guineensis (African oil palm)
Lineage: Eukaryota; Viridiplantae; Streptophyta; Magnoliopsida; Arecales; Arecaceae
Description: long non-coding RNA (EGUI_LNC021758)
Source: RNAcentral